This 712-nucleotide unclassified non-coding RNA is filed under the name Forsstroemia pusilla. Its description in RNAcentral is "Forsstroemia sp. SO-2021j sequence contains 18S rRNA gene, ITS1, 5.8S rRNA gene, ITS2, 28S rRNA gene". The stretch from base 260 to 412 matches the Rfam family "5.8S ribosomal RNA". The record is from RNAcentral. Lineage: Eukaryota; Viridiplantae; Streptophyta; Bryopsida; Hypnales; Leptodontaceae.
UUGCACACACGAGUUGCAGCCAACCCGCGGCGAACGAACACAUUGUCCCCCUCGGUGGGUCGUGGCGCCUCGCGGCGUCGCGGCCGGCCAACUCCCUUCGUCGCGCUGCGCUGCGCUCCGCGCGCGGCGUCGGGUUUCCACGCGAUGCCUUCACCUUGACCGAACGACUGAGUCCCUUACUACUUAGAAAGAGUGACGAGUUCCCUCCCCCCCUUGGCUUGGCUUGGCUUGGCUUGGCUUGUGAAACAUAACCCAAAACAACUCUCAGCAACGGAUAUCUUGGCUCUUGCAACGAUGAAGAACGCAGCGAAAUGCGAUAUUUAAUGUGAAUUGCAGAAUUCCGCGAAUCAUCGAGUCUUUGAACGCAAGUUGCGCCCGAGGCUUGUCCAAGGGCAUUUCCGCUAGAGCGUCACCGCGCCCCCCACCGAUCCACUCCCACCCGGGAGUCGCGUCGAGUGAAAGUGGCCGUCCCGGCGGGCCUUCCGGCCUCAAGGGUCGGCUGAAAUGGAGGGAAUCGGGCCGCCGUGGUGACACAGUCCGCGAUCGGGUGAUUCUCGGGCUCCUCCUUUGUUUGGUUGUGGGCCCGGGAUUUUUCUAAGUGCGAGGCUGCGUCGCCCAGUUGGUCGUGGUGUUACCUCAUGCAGGUCGAGCGCGCCCCCCGCGGCGCGCGUCACGCAUCAGACCUCUAAUCGGAAAAGACUACCCGCUGAGU